ACAGAUGUGCCACUUCCAAUGCAGUAACAUGCACAAAGUGCCUUGCUUUGGGUCCAGAGUGUGGAUGGUGUGCUCAAGAGGAUUUCAUGGCCGGCACAGCACAGACAGGACGCUGUGACACUGUUUUUAACUUAAUGAAAAGAGGCUGCCAAUCAGAUUUUGUAGAAAAUCCCACAGUUCAUGUAACAAUACCGAGUGACCAUGAAACAAAUACACAAGUGACACCAGGAAAAGUUUCAGUCCAACUGCGUCCAGGAAGCGAAGCAAACUUUAUAUUAAAAGUCCGUCCUCUAGAGAAAUACCCUGUGGACCUCUAUUAUCUAGUUGAUGUCUCAGCCUCUAUGCACAACAAUAUAGAAAAAUUAAAUUCAGUUGGAUUUGCUUUAUCUAAAAAGAUGGAGAAUAUUUCUCUUGAUUUUCGACUUGGAUUUGGAUCAUAUGUGGAUAAAACUGUGUCACCCUAUAUUAGCAUUCACCCAGGUAGAAUCCAUAAUCAAUGCAGUGAUUAUAAUUUAGAUUGUAUGCCUCCUCACGGUUAUAUUCAUGUGCUGUCACUGACUGACAACAUAGCAGAAUUCAGAAACGUAGUGAAUAAACAAAAAAUUUCUGGGAAUAUUGAUACACCCGAAGGGGGUUUUGAUGCAAUGCUCCAAGCAGCUGUGUGCCAGAGUCAUAUUGGAUGGCGCAAAGAAGCAAAGCGACUACUUCUUGUGAUGACAGAUCAAACUUCCCAUCUGGCCCUUGAUAGUAAAUUAGCAGGGAUAGUAAUUCCCCAUGAUGGAAACUGCCAUCUGAAAGAUAAUGUGUAUGUCAAAGCUACAAGUAUGGAGCAUCCAUCACUUGGGCAGCUUUCUGAAAAGUUGAUUGACAAUAACAUCAAUGUUAUUUUCGCAGUUCAAGGAAGCCAGUUUCAUUGGUAUAAAGAUCUGUUACCUCUGUUGCCUGGUACUGUUGCAAGACAGAUAGAAUCACAAGCAGCAAAUCUCAAUGAUUUGGUGGUAGAAGCCUAUCAGAAACUAAUCUCUGAAGUGAAAAUUCAAGUGGAUAACCAGAUCCAAGAUCUUAAUUUCAAUAUCACUGCAAUCUGUCCUGAUGGAAGUAAAAAAACAGGCAUGGAAGGAUGUAAAAAUGUGGGAUAUAAUGAAGAAGUGCUUUUCAAUGUCUCUGUUAAAAUGAAAGGAUGUCAUACAACUGGAGGAAGAAAAUAUGUGAUACUUAAGCCUAUUGGUUUCAAUGAAACCACCAUCAUUAAUGUACAUAAAAACUGUGCCUGUCAGUGUGGAGACAGUGCAAGGCACAAAAGGGUUUGUGCUGAGGAAACUUUUCCUGAUGGUGAACAAUCCCAUUGCAGUGACGCUAACUGUAAUUCCAAUAGAGAUACAUUUGCUUCUGAGCGGUGCAGACCACACCAGGACCAGCCCAUCUGCAGUGGUCAAGGAGACUGCAUAGAUGGCAAAUGUUUCUGUUACAAAAACAAGCUGGGCAAGGUAUAUGGCACAUACUGUGAAAUGGAUGAUUUUUCCUGCCCGUAUCAUCAUGGAAGCUUGUGUUCUGGUAAUGGUGAAUGUGAAGCUGGUAAAUGUAAAUGCUUUGCUGGCUGGGAAGGUGACCGUUGCCAAUGUUCAUCACAAUCAGCAAAACACUGCCUGACUUCAAAGGGCCAGGUUUGCAGUGGAAGAGGAAAUUGUGUAUGUGGAAAGUGUGAGUGCACUGAUCCAAGAAGCUUUGGUCGUUUGUGUGAAUAUUGCCCUACUUGUAACAGUGCCUGUGAAGAAAACUGGAAUUGUGUUCAAUGCCAUUAUCCUAACAACGCAUCUCAAGCUGUACUUGACCAGUGUAAGACCUCAUGCACUUACAUGUUGCAUUAUAUUGACCACACUUCAGAAUGUUUCUCUGGACGAAGCUACUUUAGAAUCUUUUCCAUAAUCUUUAUAGUUACAUUUCUGAUUGGGUUGCUUACUGUACUUAUCAUCAGGCAGAUAAUUCUGCAGUGGAAUAGCAAUAAAGUUAAGUCUUCAGCUGAUUACAGAGUAUCUGCAACAAAGAAGGAUAAGAUGUUUUUGCCUACUGUUUGUACAAGAACAGUAACAUACAGACGUGACAAACCAGAAGAAAUAAAUAUCGACAUCAGCAAGUUACGAUUAAACGAAACUUUCAAGUGUGAAUUCUGAAGACAGUGUGUUUUCUGCAAAUGUCUAUUUUCAUCCUUUUCUACUUUUUAAAAGUUACCUUUUGUACUCUGUAAGAGUCUUGAUUGUUGCUGUUUGGUUUUGUCAUGCAUUUUGUUGAAUACUGUAACAAAGUGACAUGUAAGCAUAGUCACAUAAUGUGACUAUGUUUGAAACUAUAGCUGCUGUAUUUUUUUGAAAGAGAAAUGUGCAUUACUACUGUUCAGGAACAUUAGUGUUGAUGUAGCACUUUAAUGUAUUCUAAUUUAUUUAGUUAUGGCAUAGAAUGUAGAUAUGAACAGGUCUGACAAAGCACUGAUCUCACUCCACAUGUAGCUAGUACUGAUAAGCUCUGUGAGAAUGGACAAAAACUGUGACUGAACUAUUAAUAUUGCUGUAUAUUGUGGCAAUAGAUGAAACUUCAAAUACUCUUAAAUAGAGUGAAUGGUACUUUUAUAGUUCUCUCAGUUGACUAAAUUCCAUUGAUAUGUUUGUUUUAGCCUCUUAGCUUUUCCUCAUUACUAAAUAAAAAUGACUGGAUUAAAUGACUGCUUAGUUACACUGGUGUGUGUAUAGUUGUGUGUGUGUGUGUGUAUAUAUAUAUAUAUAUACACAUACAGAUACACACCCGUGCACACAUACAGAUAAAUAUGUAUAUAAUACAAUUUUUAAUCUAUUCAUGAUGGUGUCACUUAAAGAUAGUUUACAUCUGAUAAAGAGAAUAAUUUUUAGCUUUUUUACUUGUUUCAAAAUAAAAACUUUUAUAGAAAUUUUAAGAUAUGUGAAAACUGAGUGCAAACAGAAAAUGAGAGAGUUUCUCUCACCAGCAGCAUAGUCUACAGAGUAAUCACUUCUGGCUAACUUCACCUCUGGAGUUAGCAGCAUCAACUCUAUUGCAAUCAGAUAAAUUACACCAGAGCUGUAUUUGGUUUGCUAGCUACAUGUCAGUGUUUUGCCAAAUAAGGGCUCUGUUCUUUUUGAAUGUCAGACGUAAGUCUGAUUUUCCACAUAUGCUCUUUUUUUCUGUGUAAAAUCAGUUGACAGGAUUAGUUUUCUUGAAUCCUUACUUAACCACUUUAAUUUUUGUGACUGUGCAUUGAGAAAUGUGUCCAAUGUGGUAUGAAAAAGUAUCUGCAGUUCAAAAGAAGGUGGGGAAAAUAGGAGUCAUUUUUCUCAAGAGAAUAUGUUAGUUGACUUCAUAAACAUAGGAUCAAAUUCUGCCUUCAGAAACGAGCAAAAACUCUUCUAAACACAGUGGGACCAAUGUAAGCUUAUCUGAGAGCAGAAUUUAAGCUACAAGGUCAGCCAGAAACAUUUUCUUACCCUGAAGCAGGCUGUAGUGCUGCAAGACAUGUUAUUGCCAUAUGCUAUUUGAAAGGGUCAACUAACAGUCCAAUUUACUUAUUUUAUGCUGCCAAAACCAUAGGAAGUCCUGAUGAACCUCUUUGAAAUGUGCACUAAGGUCUAGCUGGCAAAAAAGUCAUCUCAGAAGACAGUCUGCGGUAUAUCAUUUUAGCAGUAUUAAUUACUGAUACUAAAUAUUGGUCCGUACUUACAACAGGUAAGAGUCACAGAAACGUCUUUAUAUGCCGUUUCUACAAAUGUAUAAUAUUAAUAUUUCCUAUUCUGUACAUUUUCUGUACUGCAAAUUCCCACUGAAAUCUGAGAAGUAUACGUGCAAAAAGAAGGCAGGAUGUAGAACAGAUGAUGAGUGUUAUGCAAGGGUUCACAGUGAAUUACUUGGGCCAAGGAUCAAAUGAGGGAUUAAGAAAAAUAAUAUAGAAACAGUGGGCUCUCCAUUGACUUAUCCUAAAAGCUUUAGAUUUUAGGGCCUGUUUUUAAACAUUUUAUAAACUGCACCAUUAAAUGUUUCUAAAGCAGUCUUCACAGUAGUACCUGAGCUUCUUACCAUGCAGUUAAAAGUGUCUCAUUUAAAGAAAAGAGGAAUUCCUUACCACAGACUCUAUCACAGAGUGUCUACACAGACACACUCACUAUCAUGUUAUUUACAGAUUAAUUCUAUAUGAAGAAUUGUUCUAUAAUAUAUCAACUAUACUUUAAACUCUAUUUUAUUUUUAAAACAGAACAGCAUAGAACCAUUUUCUUCCUGUGGAAAUUAACGGAGUCUAGACCAUUGGGAUUAAUCCCACUUAAUCCAGUGGGAUUAAGAUAAACUAUCUGUAAGAGAUUACUUAAUAUUGUCCUUGUCACAAUUAGUAUUUUUAAGUGAGUAGAAAACAGGGUGCCUGGUUAUCUGUUUAACAUAAGAACAACAAAACUAUUAAAAGCUGAACUGAAAAUAUUUGAAUAUUUAACAAAAGAUGUAGUUAUGCUCUUGAAAGAAUGGGAUACCAUUUUUUUCACAAAAAGGAUUCCUCAGAAUGUAUUUCCCAUAAUAGCCGUUAGACCAUUCAGUGAAGUGAUAGCUAUUGGUUUUUUUUUUAAUUAAUUUUCACUGUUAGACAGAGUUCAAGUGCAGGGGUGGGGGACAGCGGGGCAAUGGAGCUGCGUUUGUUGCAGGAGGAAGAUUUGAGUGGUAACACUUUAUCUUUCAGGCACAUCACAUUGCUACUACUUUCCUUCUGCAGCACUGUUCCAGUGCUGCCUGAGAGGGGCCAGCCAGUGUUUUGUUAUCAGAACACCUGCCUGAACAUUCAAUCCGCUCUGGUAAAUGGAGCAGGCUCGCAGGACAAACUGCACUAUACCAUUAACAAGAAAAAGUCUUGCUGCUCAAGCUCUCGGAGGAGGAAAGAAACUUAAAUUACAGCCUCUAAACCCGGAGGAGGAAAGAAAUCAUCAUUUCAGCCACUUUUUUGACAGCAGUCAUGUCUGCAAUAAAGACAAGAAUCCUGGAAAUACACUCCUGCUACCCUGGG
Struthio camelus australis is the source of this 5044-nucleotide non-coding RNA. NCBI's taxonomy places the organism in Eukaryota, Metazoa, Chordata, Aves, Struthioniformes, Struthionidae. The record is from RefSeq and is a predicted model, not a curated record.